RNAcentral lists this ribosomal RNA (484 nucleotides) under uncultured bacterium. Its description in RNAcentral is "bacterial SSU rRNA". It matches the Rfam family "Bacterial small subunit ribosomal RNA", at positions 28 to 507 of the family's 1533-position model. The record is from RNAcentral.
GAUGAACGCUAGCGGCAGGCCUAACACAUGCAAGUCGAACGGUAACAGGAAAAGCUUGCUUUUUGCUGACGAGUGGCGCACGGGUGCGUAACGCGUAUACAAUCUGCCUUUUACAGGGGGAUAGCCUUUAGAAAUGAAGAUUAAUACCCCAUAGUAUAUAGAAGUGGCAUCACUUUUAUAUUAAAGCUUCGGCGGUAAAAGAUGAGUAUGCGUUCUAUUAGCUAGUAGGUGUGGUAACGGCACACCUAGGCAACGAUAGAUAGGGGCCCUGAGAGGGGGAUCCCCCACACUGGUACUGAGACACGGACCAGACUCCUACGGGAGGCAGCAGUGAGGAAUAUUGGAAAAAUGGUCGAAGACUGAUCCAGCCAUGCCGCGUGCAGGAAGACUGCCCUAUGGGUUGUAAACUGCUUUUUUAUACGGGAAAAACCAUACGUGUAGUUGGCUGACGGUACCGUAAGAAUAAGCAUCGGCUAACUCCGUG